GCUGGGUGUGGUGAUUCACACCUGUAAUCCCAGCAACUCAGGAGGCUGAGGCAGGAGGAUCAUCAAGUUCAAGGCCAGCCUCAG
Molecule: small RNA, 84 nt
Filed under: Marmota monax (woodchuck)
Lineage: Eukaryota; Metazoa; Chordata; Mammalia; Rodentia; Sciuridae
Source: RNAcentral